CAGAAACUGGUUGGAAGGAUGCAUUGUUGCAGUGCCAGAGAACCAGUGAUCCCUUUGGUCCUGGUUAUAUUGGCCAGGUACGAGUGCAAGAUAAGCAUCCAGUGCAGAUUCCUGCCGGAACAAUGAGUGGUGGCUGGAUGCUGCACAGGUGACAGGACGUAUGGGCGAAGAGGACAUGUCUCCAGCAGCCAACUAUCACCAAAGCCAUGCAACCUCUUCAGCCACCUGCAAACUGCAGAAGUGGCCCACACAAAAGAGUAAUCAGUGGACGUGUCCUCACCAAUCAGAGAGGUGGCCAAGGAGUUGGGCGAAAUCAAGACUGCCCUGACUGAAAUAAACUGCACGAUGAGGGAAUUCUUGAAUAAAUACUAUUUUCCACACCUUUUGUUGUUCUUUACAAGCGACGCAUCACUUCCAAACGCUGGCGCACAGCAGCA
This is a long non-coding RNA of Carassius auratus (goldfish), 437 nucleotides long. RefSeq lists it as uncharacterized. Lineage: Eukaryota; Metazoa; Chordata; Actinopteri; Cypriniformes; Cyprinidae. The record is from RefSeq and is a predicted model, not a curated record. The transcript is spliced from 3 exons.